Molecule: RNA transcript, 2660 nt
Organism: Nyctereutes procyonoides (raccoon dog)
Lineage: Eukaryota; Metazoa; Chordata; Mammalia; Carnivora; Canidae
Gene: SPATA1
Gene name: spermatogenesis associated 1
Exons: 15
Source: RefSeq, a predicted model, not a curated record
AACUCAUGACCUGCCCCCCUGAAGUUGACCUCGGGAGGAGUUCCCGGAGCGGCGGAGCAGUAGGAUCUCAGCACGCAGAACUAGGCGCAGCUGAAGCGGUUCACCCAUGGAAACGUAUGUGUGACGUCACAGCGAUUGACAUCAUACAUAGGAUUCGAGUACCUCAGCGAAUACCCUAAGGUCUGCAGCAAACGAGAAUAGUCUCAUCACUAAGACCCGUUAGAUUUUUUUUGUAGGGUGAGAGAAUCCACAUAUAAUCUGCUCUGAUUGACAAAACCUACCCCUAAACGGUUUAGAUCAUUUUACAGGAAUGUACAAUGCUACUCAAUUCGCACGAGAGACGUAAUGACGAGGUUCAUGAACCAAGGUAUAAAUUCCAGGCUCUACCACUUACCUUGGUAUCCCUGGGCGAGCCACUUAAACUUGGCUGGGUCUCUUUUUCCUCAUUUCAUAAUGAAAUAAUACAGAAUUCUUUUUUUUUUUAAUGGACAAAUCUGUUCAGUAUGCUAUGCUCACCACAAGCAUAGCAACCGUCUGUCCCCCUACAAUGCUCUUACAGUCCCGUUGACUGUAUCCUGGAGACCUACUCAUUCCAUAACUGGAAGCUCCCGCCCCUCUUCACCCCUUGUGCCUCUCCGAACCUCCCUCCUGCUGGCCGCCGGAAGUUUUCUCUGUGAUUAUGGGUGUAUUUCUGGUUUUGUUUGUUCGUUUGUUUUUUAGAUUUCAGGUGUGAGUAAAACCAUAUUGUAUUUGUCAUUUUCUGAUUUCCUUCAUUUAGCAUAAUAUCCUCUAGGUCCAUCCAUGUUGGAAAGGGCAAGAGCUCAUUCUUUUUCAUGACUAGCAUUACAUUACUGAAUAAUAUUCUAUAUAUUCUUUAUACAGUUUAUCAGUGGAUACUUGGGUUGCUUCCAUGCCUUGGCUAUUGUAAAAAUGAGUGGAAUGCUAUAUAAAGUAAAAAAUCGAUUAUAACUUUAUAAAUACUACUUAGAUGAAGAAAGAUUUAAAAACCCACAAAAUUCCAACUGAUGAUCGCCCAUUCAGACAUUGGUGAAUAUGUCCCUCAGUCCAAGCCGACCUUCCUCAUCAGAGUUAGUGGAACUUCAUGUUUUUUAUGUCCCUGAAGGAUCGUGGAAUUACAAGCUAAAUACCAUUUCAAUAGAAGUUGUUAACAAAUUCAUUUCAGCUGGAUUUAUAAGAGUAUCUCCUCAUCUUACUUUACAAGCCCUGAGAGAGCAACUUGGUGAGUUCCUUGGUGAAGAUGCUAUUGCAGAAAAAUUUUUAUUUCUGAAAUGCAUUGGAAAUAAUCUAGCUGUGGUGAAGGCAAAACAAGAAUCGGAACUGAAACUCAAAUCAUUUGCUCCUCCAUAUGCUCUUCAACCAGAAUUAUAUUUGCUUCCUAUAAUGGAUCAUUUAGGAAAUACUUAUUCAGCAUCAACUGUCUCUUUAGAUGGGCGGCAGACUAAUAAUGGUGUUGCUGAGGCUGAUGGAAUAAUCCACAGACCACUUAGUGUAACUCUGUUGAAGGAAGAACCUGGAACAGAUCCCAGUUUUUUAGUAAACACUUUGAAAGAGCUUCUUAACAAGAAUCAGGAAGAAGGAACAUCAGCUGGGGGAAAAGCUACUCCAAAAGAAAAACAGACUGGAAAAACUCAUACUGGAAAUUCUGAAGUUCCGGGACCAUUGGAAGAAUCCAGUAGUGAUUAUUUUAGCAACAAAAAAAGUCCAUUUCUUUGGAAAAAUGAAGAUGAUAGAGUUAAUCUCAUUAGAACAGAGGACAAUCAGAUAGGUAAAAAAGAAUGCAUCAUCCUACCAGAUCUUAUUGAUUUUCCUUCACUUCCUGGUCAUCCUGCUCUUUCUCCAGGAAUAACUGAUAUCUCUUCAUUACAGAUUGAAAGAGAGAAGAUUAUUGAACAAAUGAAACAAGUGAAGAAAGAAAGAAGAUACCUGGAAAGAACUAGAGAAGAACAAAUAAAAAAAGUUGAAAAGCUAUUUGAACAAAGUAAAUUGAAGCGAUACCAUGCCUGUGAUGGUUGGAAGAAAAAGUACUUUGAAACAAAGAAAAUCACAGCAUCAUUAGAGGAAGUUUUAAGAAAACUUCAAGAAGAUUUGGAACUUUACUAUAAAAAAUUGCUCAUGCAACUUGAAGCCAGGGAGAUCAAGAUGAGACCAAAGAAUUUGGCAAACAUUACAGACUCUAAGAAUUACCUUAUAAUCCAGAUCACUGAAGUACAGCAUGCAAUUGACCAACUUAAGAGAAAACUGGAUACUGAUAAAAUGAAACUCAUAAUAGAAGUUAAGAUGAGGAAACAAGUAGUUUCAGAUUUACGCACAUUGAAAGCUGAACUGGCACAGAAGAAAAUUGACACAUCCUUACCAUCUAUCUCAAUUAGUUCCUGGAAAUGUGCUUAGUUAGGAGCUCAGCAGAUGAUUUUGUGUAUGAUGUAUCAACCAAAUCAAAAGGGAGCAUUGGCUGCUGCAAUACAUUCUGACAAGGCCAGACUUCGUUCAUCAUAAGACAUCACAAAGAGAAAGUCACAAGCAUCUGCAAUUCCAGUAUAAUUAUAGCACCUGUUUUUGCUCUUUGGAGACCAAGAUACAUCAAAGGUUACCUGUGGAAAACCAUGCCAUUUUAUGUAAUAUCAAAUAUGCUUAUUAUAUCA